UACGGGGGUGGCGAGCGUUACUCGGAUUUAUUGGGUGUAAAGGGCAGGUAGGUGUUCCGCUAAGUUAGAGGUGAAAUCCUGUGGCUUAACCACAGAACUGCCUUUAAAACUGGCGGAAUUGAGUCCGGCAGAGGAGAGUGGAAUUCCCGGUGUAGGGGUGAAAUGUGUAGAUAUCGGGAGGAACACCAGUGGCGAAAGCGGCUCUCUGGGUUGGUACUGACACUAAGCUGCGAAAGCUAGGGGAGCAAACAGG
Molecule: ribosomal RNA, 253 nt
Filed under: uncultured bacterium
Lineage: Bacteria
Description: partial 16S ribosomal RNA
Rfam family: Bacterial small subunit ribosomal RNA
Source: RNAcentral